CUAGUUGGCGAGGUAACGGCUCACCAAGGCAACGACGGGUAGCUGGUCUGAGAGGAUGGCCAGCCACAUUGGGACUGAGAUACGGCCCAGACUCCUACGGGAGGCAGCAGUGGGGAAUCUUGCGCAAUGGCCUAACGGCUGACGCAGCGACGCCGCGUGUGGGAUGAAGCUCCUCGGAGUGUAAACCACUGUUGCCCGGGACGAAUAGCUCGAUUAAUCGAGCCUGACGGUACCGGGUGAGGAAGCACCGGCUAACUCCGUGCCAGCAGCCGCGGUAAUACGGGGGGUGCGAGCGUUGUCCGGAAUCACUGGGCGUAAAGGGCGCGUAGGUGGUUUGAUAAGGGUGUGGUGAAAGUCCGGGGCUCAACCCCGGAUCUGCCGUGCCGACUGUCAAACUCGAGGGCUGUAGAGGCAGGCGGAAUUCCGGGUGUAGCGGUGGAAUGCGUAGAGAUCCGGAGGAAGACCGGUGGCGAAGGCGGCCUGCUGGGCAGUUUCUGACACUGAUGCGCGACAGCGUGGGGAGCAAACAGGAUUAGAUACCCUGGUAGUCCACGCCGUAAACGAUGGGUACUAGGUGCCUGGGGGAGCGACCCUCUGGGUGCCGGCGCUAACGCAGGAAGUACCCCGCCUGGGGAGUACGACCGCAAGGUUGAAACUCAAAGGAAUUGACG
This 671-nucleotide ribosomal RNA is filed under the name uncultured Gemmatimonadota bacterium. RNAcentral describes it as "SSU rRNA". It matches the Rfam family "Bacterial small subunit ribosomal RNA", at positions 245 to 915 of the family's 1533-position model. Lineage: Bacteria; Pseudomonadati; Gemmatimonadota. The record is from RNAcentral.